Long non-coding RNA from Mugil cephalus (flathead mullet), 4193 nucleotides. RefSeq lists it as uncharacterized. The transcript has 2 exons. Lineage: Eukaryota; Metazoa; Chordata; Actinopteri; Mugiliformes; Mugilidae. The record is from RefSeq and is a predicted model, not a curated record.
ACUACUACUACCAAUAAUAAUAAUAAUAAUAAUAAUAAUAAUAAUAAUAAUAAUAAUAAUAAUAAUAAGGAAGUACGAUAUAUUAUGCAACAGUUCCUUGUUACCGGUAGAUGUAGAGCAAAGCAUAGUAUUAAUUAAACGAAAAUGUGAGUGAGUCUGUAGGAAGUGUGGGCGGGGCAUCGAUACCCGUACUGCGCAGACUCGGCCUCCAAGGUCGCAAGAUGGCGCUGCCCCUAUCCCCCGGAAGGUACUGCAAGUUUGGCUAAUGCAAGGCCUUGACGGGGCGACCAGAUGAAGGCAAAACUAUAAGAGGAGACGAUAAGAAGAACAGAAAACGAGAAGUGACUUCAUGCCGGAACGAAGAUGUAGACUUGUAAAGGUAAGAACAGAAAGAUGUUGGGUAGGCUUGGUAGUUUAGGCUUUUAUUCUUAUCAACAGGACAUAUUACAAGUUGAGCGGUUUGGCUGUUUUUUUGUCACAAUUACCAAACCAAAAUCAACCAUAAAUUCAUUUAUGCUCUGUGUGUGAUGAUUUUAUCAACUUAGUUACAUUUGUCACCUUUUUGUAAAGAGCUUGAACUUUGAAAAUAGGUGUUACAGCAUAGAGCACAUUUGUUUCUGCGGUGCAAACGGUAAGAGUCAAAUAGUCAGGUCGCUAAAAUGUAGGAAGUGGUUUCUCUUGCAUUGUGAAACAGUGGCAGCACUUGCUCAUUUCUGCACAACAGAAACAUCUAGACAGACAGAACAGCGCUGGAACACACAUAUUAGAGACAUUUGACUUAACGUUGCUGUAACGUUAACGUUGUUACAAACAUUAGAUUUGUUGGAUCAAAUGAUUGCAUGCACGCGAUAGACCAGAAACAGAACCGAUAAGAGAUGGAAGACUGGGCAUUUAUCACUCCAGUGUGAUCUUAAAAUAUGUUAACAAAGUAUUUGUGAGUCUGUUGCACCCUUAAUGGAGUUUUAAGUAAAUUUAAUAAUAGAAAAUACCCGUGCUCAAUCACGCUCUGAGAACUAAUUAGCCGUUCUUGGUCGACGCCACAGAAACCAUCUCAGUCGUGUUUAUGCCAGGUGAUCGCAGAAGUCGUCUGAUCAUGCAACUUUCCGUUACUCUGCGUCUUGAUCAAAUAGCCUGCAGGUGUUUUUUUUUUUUGGACUAGUUGUGCUGUUCAUAAACAAGUAAUUGUCCCACCAAGCUUGCUCAAACCAGAUGGUAUGACACACCGCCCAACAAUGUGAAAGCCAUGCUGAUUAAAUUAAUUCGGAAUGAAUGACAGGAAGUCAAAAGUUUGGCUGGCAGAGACCUCCCACACAUGUCUCACCUCCUCCUGUGUGUUUCACGUUCUUUGCAACUCACUUUGACCUAGAACUUCUCGGAGUCCUAGUUUUCCCUGUUCUUCAACCUGUGCCUUAUGUUUGUACUCUUUUUCUUUUGGGCCUCCCUCAGUAUGAGCUUUUUUUUUUUUUUUUAGUUUUUUACCACGAAGAUCAGAAGAACCCUGCCAAAGAGAAGUACAGUAUAUAGCACCCUAAAGUGCAAAUCUAUGUGGAAGUAAAUGUUGACAUCACUCAUUUAAUGUUCUUUCAGCAGUCAGCAAAAAAUCUGCAGUCACAACCAUUCAACUGAAUUUGAUUUAUUCAUUUACGUACACAGUUUAAAGUUGCAGUGAUGCGAUUUGCAGCCGAUCUGGAGCCCAGUUUUUGUUCUUGCUUGUUUGAUCUUAGCCGAAACCAAGAGACACGUUCCCUUGUACCUUUGUAACUAUGAAUUUACAGCCCUCUCCUUAGUCCACUGCUGAUAAAAACAGAGCCAAGCCCGCAUCUGUCUACUCUCUGUCAUUUCCCAACCUUUGGCAAGCCCCAGCAACAUCGAUGCAAUGUUUAUUCUACUGGCCAUCUCAUGUUUUGUUGGUUCUUAGAUACAAAAAUAAAUACGUUAUUUGUGUCAAUGAUAAAUUCACAGUUUCUUGUCCACAUCCUCUACACCAUCUCUGCCCUGUCCCCUAGAGUAGGUGUUUGCGUGUUUCAGUACUAUUCAAGUUCCUGUUUUAAACAUUGACGUCCCUCUGUAGCGACUGCGCCUAAUAAUCCUAACAGUGUUUAUUUUGUGUUUAUCGUUUAUGAAUGUUACUUCUUCAAGUAUUUAGUUAUGGAGAACUUGGAAACAAGUGUUAUUUAAGCACGUGGCGAAAGAGCUGGACUCACCCAGCUGAUGUGUUUUGACUUUGGAGUAUCACAAGGAAUAAGGUUUCUCUUUUGAGACCUGCAGCUGUUAACCUUCCCGUCAGCAACAACCCUGGUAACGUUCCCAGCAGCACACCAGCAUCUCUCCCCAAUGACCUCAGUUCCUUCUUUUCCAAAUUUGAGAUCAACAACUCCACCCAGCUACAAGACGUCAGAUCCACCCUCAUAUCUGACGACGCAACGUCCGCUGCAUCUCUUUCCUCACCACGGACGUAGUGAGGGCCCUAAAGAGAAUCGAGGCUAACAGCGGGAGCCGAUAACAUCAGUGGGCGGGUCCUCACACACUGUGCGGACCAGUUAGGGAGUGUCUUCCGGGAACUGUUCUAGACCUCCAUCAACACAGGAACCGUCCGCAUAUUUUGGAAACACUCAACCAUUAUCCCCAUUCCCAGCCCCCCCAGGUUCCUGAACGACCUGCGCCCAGGCUAUGGAUGAAGGCCAUGGAGAGGCUAGUUAAGCGACACAUCCUCACUCUGACCAACUCACAACUCGACCCACUCCAAUUUGCAUAUCAAAGCCACAAAGGUGUCGACGAUGCCAAAGCCUUCAUCAUCGACAGCAUCCACAGACACCUGGAGCUUCGCUUACUUCUCCUCGGCCUUCAACGCCCUGCGACCGCACAUUCUGGCAGAGAGACUCCAGCGGAGCUUCAGCUUGAGCAGCCAGCUCAUCCUCCCGGAUCCUGGACCUUCUGACCAACCGAACCCAGCGAGUCUGGAUUAACAAUAACCUGUCUGAUCUCCUCUGCCACCUCCACUGGCUCCCCACAAGGCUGUGUGCUCUCUCCACUGCUCUUCGUCCUGUACACCGACGAGUGCAGAUCAGCGCAGCCCCAGACUGUCACCUGGUGAAGUUUGCUGACGACACAGUUCUCCUGUCCGGUCCCUCCCUCCGCCACGCACACGCUCUGCAGCAGCUCGCAGAGUGGUGUGACUCUUCCUGUCUGGAGCUGAAUUUCAGCAAAACGAAGGAGAUGGUGGUGACCUUCUCCAGCAGCCAAAGGGAACUGGCGGCAGCUGUCACCACUAUGAUCCACGGUUCUCCGGUCGAGACAGUUGGGGAAUACAGAUACCCGGGAACCGUCCUGGACGGCCAACUGAGGUUCUCUUCCAACACUGAAGGGAUCCUGAGGAAGUGCCCCCAGAGGAUGUACCUACUAAGGAAACUGAACUCUUUCUCUGUAAGAACAUCUUGCUGACAUUCUAUUACACGUUCAUUUUAAGUGUUUUAACUUUCUCCAUAUGUUCCUGGUAUCACUCCGUAUCUGUUCAGGAUAGGAACCGCCUGCAUAACAUUGUCAAGGUGUGUUCUAAGAUUAUUGGACUCCCUGCUCGCCACCUGAGCACUGUGUACGAGCAAUUCUCAAGGACUCAACCCGUGCUCUGUUUCCAGCAUUUGAGCUGCUUCCGUCUGGUGGCAGGUUCCGAUGUCCGGCCUGUAAGACCGAGAGGAGGAGAGCAGCCUUUGUUCCCAAUGUUAUUCUCUUCCUGAACUCUAAGAACUUUACGACGGUCACAAUAACUUAACCUCCUGUGUUACACUCACAGUGCAAUAUCACAUGUCCUCUUGUGCAAUACUACCUCUUGUGCAAUACUACUUUGAGACUUUAACUACAGUGUCACUUUAAUUUAUUUUUUUUUUAAACCACGCCUCACUUUAUUUAUUUCAUUAAUUUAUUUGUCAUACCUUAUCUGCUGCUGUUUUAUUUAUUUAUUUUUUUAUACAUAUUGGUCUUGAUAUUAUUUUCAACAAUCCAUCUCUCUUCUGUUACUGGCAGCAGGCCUGCCAUUGUACUUAAUAUCCUGUUUUGUUUGUUUUUUGUUUUUUUUGGCCACUUUUGCAAUUUUUAUUCUUUCGUUAUCUUAUUCUCUGGCUCUUAAAAUAUUUAUCGCUCUCUGCCCUCCUGAUUGCCCUUCGGGGAGUAAUAAAGUUUUUUCUGUUUCUGUUUUA